Long non-coding RNA from Oreochromis aureus, 4094 nucleotides. Lineage: Eukaryota; Metazoa; Chordata; Actinopteri; Cichliformes; Cichlidae. The record is from Ensembl.
GAAAAAAAGAUAUGCUCAGGAAGGAAGUCAGCAGGCUCCAAGAAGAGGUCAUACACAUGGACGAGCUUUUCAAAGGCGCCUUAGAAGGACGGCUCACACUCAAGCCGACACAGACCUCCUGUAGGACCACCUAAACAAGGAAAUGGAAAAUGCAACACGCUGCAGGUAUGCUGCCUUGACUGAUCAUUAUACCUUACAGCAGUCUUUCUCAAACUGUGGUAUGCUAGUGGUACUUGGGCUCUCUCUGAUGGUAUGCUGAAAUCUCCAUUUUUUUUAAAGAUUAAAUAAAUACCAUUGUGCAGGUAUGCAAAGACGACACGAGAGUUACCGAGGCUCUUCUGGGAGCCGGAGUGGACCAGAAAACGUCUCCCCGAGCGUGAGUCCUCUAUGAAGAGCAGCCUUUCCUUAUCGCCAGCGGUCACGGUCGCUACAGAGCGCUGGCCUUAAAACUGCAGAGGCGGGAGGCGCUGUCACUCUGAUGGUAAAAACACAGCUGCGAUCCCAGCCACCAUGGAUGAGUUGGAGGCCCCCGGGAGAAUCGUGGGGGCGCGGGAGAUGCCGUCGGUGAGUCCGGGAACUAUCGCCUGGAUGCCGAAGCUCCUGGUAGCCAGGAGAAUGUGACCCGCUUCUUCUGCGAGUGAGCGGUAAUCCUUCGCAGCCAGCAGCGGGGAGUUGGUGAGGCCAGGUUGCACCGGCAUCUGUCGGAGGAAGACGUGAGUGAAGAGGAAUCCGCCGUCAUCCGUUCCUCGCAAGGACAGCGUGCUCUCCAUGAGCUCGAGAGCGGCACCAUCACCCAGGCCCGAGAGAGAGGAGUUUCUCGGCCGCUCUGCAUCGGAGAGGGAGUAGCGGUGCAGCAGCUCUUUAAGAGCGGUGUAUUUCCCUUGGGUGGGGGGAUCCCGGAGGAGGGGCAUCACACGCCGGGUGGACAGCGGAUCCAUCAAGGCCACCACAUGAUGGUAUUGUGUCGUCGGCUGAAACGCCACGAAGAGCAAACUGACCUUCGACGUGCACGAACCGCGAAGGAGGGUCGUGAAGCCAAAAAUCCGGCAGUUUAACCGCCACAGCAAAAAUUCAAUCGUACAGCUCUGCUGUCACUUCCUAUGGAAGCCCGUUGCCGCCACUGAAAAUUUCGAUUUAUCUCUGUCGAAAUUAAGAGAAAAGUAACUCGAAAUUUUGACUUUUUCAGUUAAAAUUUUGAGAAAAGUAACUCGAAAAUUCGAGUGAGCGCCGCCAAUCAGUAAUCUACGUUAAUGACAUCAUUUCCUUGUUACCCGGAAGCUGAAGCCCUAAGCUACAAUUUUUUUUAAUUGCACAAAUAUAUCAUGUACAACAAAUAUGACAAUCUUUACAAAGAGUUUUUUUUUUUUUGUCAACUUGAAAUAGUACCAGAACAGGCCUGUUUCAACAUAUAUAGAAGACAGAGAAUGAACAGGAAAUCGAACCAACAACACCAACAAAAAAAAGCCACAAAUGCUACAGCUAAGCUACCAGUAUUACAGCCUGUCAUGAAUGCACAAAUUGCUGAUUACUUUCUGUGUGGCCUCACAAAUGAUGAAAUCCUUGUGUUAUUGACCCUGUGCACGAGAAAAUGCUAACUUCCUGGUUUGAGACCGGAUGUGGGGUUGUACAUUUCCGGUAGCUUUACUUUGCGGUCAAUCGCUACUGCGAAGAUAUACUCCAAAAUCAUGUCCAAAACUCGAAAACGGAAAGAUCGUGUUAAGUUACAAAGAGGAGAAGGUGGGAACACUCACCACUGUUGUGUCAUAAAAAAUCUAAUGAUCAAUUUUGACGUUUAAAGAGUUUAGAUCGAUCAGUUGUUUACAUCACUCAACACAAGCAGAACUGCAUUACUGCAUGCAGAAGACAUUUAAACAGGCAAAUGUUCAGCAUUCAAACUACAGGUGAACAAUAGUCAAACCAGAUGUUUCCCCAUUAUGUCGAUAUCAGCUAGUCAAGUACACACCUACACAGCAAAAAUUUCAAAAUUACAGUGGUCCCUCGCUAUAACGCAGUUCACCUUUCACCUCGCUGUUUCGCGGAUUUUUAGUGCAAGUUUGCAUGCUUUUUUUUUUUUUACAUCACAUUGUGUCCUGCCUCCUGAUCGGCUGCAGACGAUCUCCUCCGUGAUGUCUCUCCUGUACAGUACAGAAUCGCUGCAUCGAUCGCUAGCAGUGUGACUCUGAAGUGCAGUACUGUAUGUCCACGAUGUCCAUGCGUCAAAAAAUAAAACUGGCUACUUGAUUUCACCCAUCGCUGGUUAUUUUUAGAACAUAACACCCGCGAUAAACGAGGGACAGCUGAGAAAUAUAACAUUUGAAUCCCUUUUCUCUUUUGCUCUGAGGCGUGGGGGAAAAAUAUCGACAAGUCGAUGAACAUCAUUUACAGAUAUAUUGGGUAAAUGCCCAAGACAUCUAUAGAAAUGUAAAUCGCCGCUUGAUUCAUUCAUUUGCUUAACUUGUUUUGGACCUUAAACAAGGCGCGAAUAGGACACCGGAAACAAAGCUCCCCACAGGAGUUUCCGCACCGGAAGCAGCAUAUGCUAACGUGCACAUAGUCAAUUAGCUGAAUCACAUAGCGUUACUAUCAGCAAACGCACUCGAAAGCGCCGGUUGCGAUCCGGUUUUGACUGCGUAUUGCUCCCCGCCAUAUCCUUCUGGGUAACAAGAAAAUGACGUCAUUCACGUAGAUUACUGAUUGGCAGAGCUAACUCGAAAUUUCGAGUUACUUUUCUCAAAAUUUCGAGUUAAUAACUCGACAUUUUGGUAAAAUAACUCAAAAUGUCGAGUUAUGGAUCCUUUUUUUUUUUUGUGGCGGAAACGGGCUUCCAUAGAUGGGCUUCCAUACACGGGCUUCCAUACACUUCCAACAUAAAGUCAGGAGAACAACUGCAAUAUAAGAGGAGCUUGCAUCCACUAAGAGCAGCAGGAAGAAAGUCAGGAAACAAAUGCUCCGAAGGAAAAAGUGAAAAACCUCAAAGCAAACAGACACUCAAAGAAAGGAAGACGAAGAAGAGAAAGGAAAGGAGGCAAAACAAAAGAUGAGAGAAGAAAUUCACUGAAACAUCACUUGAUGAUUGCACAAAAACUCAGAUCUGCCAAACGGUACACCUUGCACAAAGCUUUGGACCUCAUUACAGCACCAGUUGAAGAUGGAGGUUUGGUCCACUCAUCCAGUCUGGGUUCUGCCAACUUCAUUGAAGGGAUAGAUCUUUGCCAUGAAAUGUAUGCAUAUAUUCAUUAAUAUUGUUUGUUUUGGGGGUUUUUUAGUUGGAGAAAAGCAGGAAAAAAAUCUUCAGCAAAUAUACAGCAUCAUUAUUAUUAUUUGCAUAAUCAUGAUGAAGGAACUGACCUCCCAGCCCAUUGUUCCUUCAGUGGGCUGGUUUCAGUCAUUAUGCAAAUGUACGAAUGUAAGAUUGGGGAAACCUGCAGUCAGCUGAGACUGAAAACGUCCAGAUGAACAGAAUCAACCUUUGAAGAUUUACUUACCUGGAUGAUUGAGAAUGCAUCAAGACAUUAUUAUUAUUAUUGUUAUAUCACUCUUGUGCUGGACAGAACACAAUGGAUAACUUCUUCCAUGUGCAGCAUUGAUGAUGUUGAAGAAGAAGAAGGAACUGGGGUCUCCAGCUCCACUGAGGCAGCCUGUAACCUGGAGGAAGGCAGAUGGAGAGGAAGUAUGGUAGCAGCCAAAGACAGAAGUGCCCUGAAGCAGUACAUAAAGAACAAGCCAACAAAGUGGCCAAUUUGAUGUAGACGUGCAAAAAUAUGAUCACAAGUGCUUUACAAUUAAUGGCACAAAGUGUGUUUGAAGGGAAUGAAUGACAAACUGAUGUGUGUAUUAAACACAUUCAAUAUUAAACUGUAAAUCUGUCCUCAGUAGUUUUCUUCUCUGCCAGCUCAAACUCUGUCAGCUGCGUUCCCGGUGGGAUAUUGAACCUGUUUGGACGUUUCUCUACACAACAAAACAUACAAAUACAAACAGCAAAAGCCAAACUGCUGCUGUAGUCCUCUCAUGGAGCUGCAGCAGCACUGAAAAGCUUCUUAGAAUGAUUUACCUGCUGAAAUAAAAUAGUCAUAAAUACAACAUAUAAUGUUAAA